CCUACGGGAGGCAGCAGUGAGGAAUAUUGGUCAAUGGACGAGAGUCUGAACCAGCCAAGUAGCGUGAAGGAUGACUGCCCUAUGGGUUGUAAACUUCUUUUAUAUGGGAAUAAAAUGUUCCACGUGUGGCUUUUUGUAUGUACCAUAUGAAUAAGGAUCGGCUAACUCCGUGCCAGCAGCCGCGGUAAUACGGAGGAUCCGAGCGUUAUCCGGAUUUAUUGGGUUUAAAGGGUGCGUAGGUGGUCUGUUAAGUCAGUGGUGAAAGUUUGCGGCUCAACCGUAAAAUUGCAGUUGAAACUGGCAGUCUAGAGUACAGUAGAGGUAGGCGGAAUUCGUGGUGUAGCGGUGAAAUGCUUAGAUAUCACGAAGAACUCCGAUUGCGAAGGCAGCUCACUGGACUGCAACUGACACUGAGGCUCGAAAGUGUGGGUAUCAAACAGGAUUAGAUACCCCAGUAGUC
This 460-nucleotide ribosomal RNA is filed under the name uncultured bacterium. RNAcentral's name for it is "partial 16S ribosomal RNA". It matches the Rfam family "Bacterial small subunit ribosomal RNA", at positions 338 to 795 of the family's 1533-position model. The record is from RNAcentral.